RNAcentral lists this ribosomal RNA (119 nucleotides) under Pteropus alecto (black flying fox). Lineage: Eukaryota; Metazoa; Chordata; Mammalia; Chiroptera; Pteropodidae. The record is from RNAcentral.
AAAAACAGCCAUGCCACCUUGAACACACCCGAUCCUGUCUGAUCUCGGAAGCUAAGCUGGGUCAGGUCUGGUUAGUACUUGGGUGGGAGACCACUUAGGAAGACCAGGUGCUGUAGGCA